Molecule: non-coding RNA, 18 nt
Filed under: Arabidopsis thaliana (thale cress)
Lineage: Eukaryota; Viridiplantae; Streptophyta; Magnoliopsida; Brassicales; Brassicaceae
Also listed under: 2 other names
Source: RNAcentral
GUAAACGGCGGGAGUAAC